RNAcentral lists this long non-coding RNA (1186 nucleotides) under Phascolarctos cinereus (koala). Its description in RNAcentral is "lncRNA (ENSPCIG00000009466.2)". The record is from RNAcentral. Lineage: Eukaryota; Metazoa; Chordata; Mammalia; Diprotodontia; Phascolarctidae.
GUUAAAUAGUCCUCCACAAAGGGUCACCCAGACCCUCCUAUGCUAAAUGGAAUAUUCAGACCAGAAAUUUUCCUCACCUGUGUCUUCAGGACACACUCAAGUGUUGACUCUCUUCUUCCCUUGGAUGCUAAAGAGAAGACAGGGCUAGAAUAGCUUCCCAGUCCCAGUCAGAAGCAUUGUGGUGUCAUUGAUGGAGGGAUGACAAGGCUUUGGUGACUUGGGUCAUCAUCUCGUUCCCUGCUGAGCUCCUUUUCAGGCAUAUGAAUGCUUUUUGUGUAGCUGCCCAUAAGUCAGAGGUAAUCACCCCCUUUUGGCUGUAAGUUCUUUAACCAUUCCCCAAUUGAUGGACAUCCCCUCAAUUUCCAAAUCUAUGCCUCCACAAAAAGAGCUCCUAUAAAUAUUUUUUGUACAAAUAUGUACUUUUCCCUUUAAAAAAACCUGUUUAGAAUAUAUGGCUCGUUGUAGUAUUGCUGGAUCUCAAAGGGUGUGAUGAGAUAAGUUCAGAGCAGUGUUAGCUUAUUGCUUUAAAAUUCUUUGUUUUGCUUUUCUAGAGAAGAAUAUGUUCACUUCUUUCUUUAAAAAGAUUUCUUUUCAGCUGGAAAGCAGUGAAGCUGCAGAAAAGAAAACAUCAUAGCUAAGGAAAUUACCUCUACAAUGGAAAACCUUCCUAAUGGUGAUUUUACUGUGGAAUGUCUCUGGAGAACCAGAGAAAUGGAAUUAAAAAGACAAGAGCUGGCAACACAAGCAGCCUGGGAAUGUAAAGCUGAGAAAUUUUUCAUCGAAAUUAAAGAGAUACAUGCCAUGGUGAGAGGGGGCAAUUGAUGGGUACUUUCCCCAUUUUUUCCACAAACCUUUCCUCAGGGCCUAUUUGUGUGAAAUCUCAAGAAAACUGGGGAAUGUAGUGAGGAGGAUGUAGGAAAGGCAUCAAAGCAAUAUUCCCAAAUUGGAGGUUGCUGGCAGUUUUGAUGGGCAUCCCAAAGCUUAAAAACAAAUGUUUCUGUGGAGAACCAAUGUCUCUCAAUUCUUCCUAGAAAUUCUGAAUUAGGGAUGAAUUUUAUUUUUCAGCCUUAUACUGUUAAGGGUGACAUGAAUUUACUGUUGUUUCCAAAAUAAGUAUUACUUAAAACAAAUCACUCUUCCUAGCUUCCACAAUUUGAAACACUAAUAAACAUCAUAAAAAUCAACA